This is a non-coding RNA of Curvularia clavata, 105 nucleotides long. Lineage: Eukaryota; Fungi; Ascomycota; Dothideomycetes; Pleosporales; Pleosporaceae. The record is from the annotation of a GenBank genome assembly.
GGUUGGUUGGCGCAAUGGUAGCGCGUGGCCCUCCUAUAGUAAUGCAGCCUCAAAACUGCAGAACUUCAAAGGCCAAGGCUGUGGGUUCGAGUCCCACAUCGAUCG